GCAGUCGAGGGGCGAGCGGGAGUAGCAAUACUUGCCGGCGACCGGCGCGACGGGUGCGUAACACGUAUACAAUACUACCGUUACUACGGGGGAGUAGCCCUCCGAAGGAGGAUUAAUACCCAUAAUAAAUUGAAUGGCAUCAUUUGAUUUUGUAAAGAUUUAUCGGUAAAGGAUGAGUAUGCGUCUGAUUAGCUAGUUGGAGAGGUAACGGCGUCCCCAAGGCGACGAUCAGUAGGGGAGUCUGAGAGGACUACCCCCCACCACUGGUACUGAGACACGGACCAGACUCCUACGGGAGGCAGCAGUAAGGAAUAUUGGUCAAUGGAGGCAACUCUGAACCAGCCAUGCCGCGUGCAGGAAGACGGCCCUAUGGGUUGUAAACUGCUUUUGUACGGGAGAAAACCCUUUCACGUGUGGGAGGUUGAUAGUACCGUAAGAAUAAGCAUCGGCUAACUUCGUG
RNAcentral lists this ribosomal RNA (460 nucleotides) under uncultured Bacteroidota bacterium. Its description in RNAcentral is "bacterial SSU rRNA". It matches the Rfam family "Bacterial small subunit ribosomal RNA", at positions 57 to 507 of the family's 1533-position model. The record is from RNAcentral. Lineage: Bacteria; Pseudomonadati; Bacteroidota.